UCAGAAUGACUGCUUUCCCAGAGUCUAAUCUCCCCCAUCCCGUCCCAAAAAAGGGGAAAAUAGGAGGAGGAGUGGCUCACUGAGGUUCAUCCUACGAGCUUCAAUUCAGGAUAGCGGGUGUCACACUACGUAUAUGCUAUAACACAUCUACACAGCACUUGCAACACAUGAUUUGCACAGUAUGCACUGCUGAUUUACUUGAAGGUUUCAAUGGUGGUCAAUCAUCAAUCAUUCGGAGACACAAAAUUA
Molecule: long non-coding RNA, 249 nt
Organism: Chelonia mydas (Green sea turtle)
Lineage: Eukaryota; Metazoa; Chordata; Testudines; Cheloniidae
Exons: 3
Source: RefSeq, a predicted model, not a curated record